Molecule: ribosomal RNA, 253 nt
Filed under: uncultured bacterium
Lineage: Bacteria
Description: partial 16S ribosomal RNA
Rfam family: Bacterial small subunit ribosomal RNA
Source: RNAcentral
UACGUAGGUGGCAAGCGUUGUCCGGAUUUACUGGGCGUAAAGAGCGCGCAGGCGGUCGUUCAAGUCGCGUGUGAAAGCCCCCGGCUCAACUGGGGAGGGUCACGCGAUACUGAUCGACUCGAAGGCAGGAGAGGGUAGUGGAAUUCCCGGUGUAGUGGUGAAAUGCGUAGAUAUCGGGAGGAACACCAGUGGCGAAGGCGACUACCUGGCCUGUUCGUGACGCUGAGGCGCGAAAGCUAGGGGAGCAAACGGG